Molecule: non-coding RNA, 82 nt
Organism: Xylaria intraflava
Lineage: Eukaryota; Fungi; Ascomycota; Sordariomycetes; Xylariales; Xylariaceae
Source: the annotation of a GenBank genome assembly
GUUAGCUUGGCCGAGUGGUCUAAGGCGGUAGAUUUAAGCUCUAUUGACGAGAGUCGCGCGUGUUCGAACCACGCAGCUAACA